This 466-nucleotide ribosomal RNA is filed under the name uncultured bacterium. RNAcentral describes it as "partial 16S ribosomal RNA". It matches the Rfam family "Bacterial small subunit ribosomal RNA", at positions 28 to 507 of the family's 1533-position model. The record is from RNAcentral.
GACGAACGCUGGCGGCGUGCUUAACACAUGCAAGUCGAACGGAAAGGCCCUGCUUGCAGGGUACUCGAGUGGCGAACGGGUGAGUAGCACGUGGGUGAUCUGCCCUGCACUUCGGGAUAAGCCUGGGAAACUGGGUCUAAUACCGGAUAGGAGCCAUUUUUAGUGUGAUGGUUGGAAAGUUUUUUUCGGUGUAGGAUGAGCUCGCGGCCUAUCAGCUUGUUGGUGGGGUAAUGGCCUACCAAGGCGGCGACGGGUAGCCGGCCUGAGAGGGUGGACGGCCACAUUGGGACUGAGAUACGGCCCAGACUCCUACGGGAGGCAGCGGUGGGGAAUAUUGCACAAUGGGCGCAAGCCUGAUGCAGCGACGCCGCGUGGGGGAUGACGGCCUUCGGGUUGUAAACUCCUUUCGCUAGGGACGAAGCUUUUUGUGACGGUACCUAGAUAAGAAGCACCGGCUAACUACGUG